UAAGCAAGUCAGAGCAGAGGUGUGUGCUAA
RNAcentral lists this non-coding RNA (30 nucleotides) under Mus musculus (house mouse). The record is from RNAcentral. Lineage: Eukaryota; Metazoa; Chordata; Mammalia; Rodentia; Muridae.